Molecule: ribosomal RNA, 115 nt
Filed under: Acanthosepion pharaonis
Lineage: Eukaryota; Metazoa; Mollusca; Cephalopoda; Sepiida; Sepiidae
Source: RNAcentral
UUACGGUCAAAUCACGCUGAAACACCGGUUCUCGUACGAUCACCGAAGUUAAGCAUCGUAGAGCCAGGUCAGUACUUAGAUAGGGGACCGCUUGGGAACACCUGGUACUGUAAUC